Molecule: long non-coding RNA, 3315 nt
Organism: Anas platyrhynchos (mallard)
Lineage: Eukaryota; Metazoa; Chordata; Aves; Anseriformes; Anatidae
Source: RefSeq, a predicted model, not a curated record
AACAGCAGUAUGAGGAAAGUCUUCCCUUCAGGCCUGGGUCUCAGCUGGGGACUGCUUCCUGUACAGGUCCAGCAACUUGAAGAGAAUUGAACUUCCUCCCAAGCUCUAUGAACCAGAGUCUCAGCUAUCAGGGAGAGGUGACAAUAGUCUAAAAUUGAUCAAUAGCAGGAAACCGGAGGACUGACAAAAACAAAGUGCAAAUGGGCCAGAAAAUAAUGAAGGGAGAGAAACUCGGAGUGAUACUGACCACAGUGUAAUCAUUCUAGAAAAGAAUGAAAGCCCCAAGAGGCCACUUGCCCAGUCUGAGCGCAACAGUGGUGCUCCAAGGACCAUCUGAUUCAGCUGCAUUCAGCCAUGUGAGAUCGAGGACAAGGAGAGCUAAGAUCAUUUAAACUUUUAAAGCCAGGAAGCGUGCUUUGCAACUCAGUCCUAAUGACAAUGCUUGGAGCUGGCAAUGUCCACUGGAACUAUUUGGCAAGGAAGCAUGGAAGCGAUGCUGUGAUAGAUAGGCAUAAUGGACUGCAGAAUAAUUUCUCGUCACUGAGGUGACUCACUUCCUGCCAACCCACAUUUUAACACUUAUUGGUAUCUUUUCCUCAUGGUUGUGAUAAUUACAGUUGCAUUAAAUGGCUGCAAGCAAUCAUAGUAAAAGUUACUACUGGUGCUGUUACUUUCCCAUGGGGAAAGGAGCAUCUAUUUCAAAGGAUUUGGUCUACUGUAUUUCAUCUGGAAGGUGGGAUCCACAUCUUUGCAUAAAGAAGUAAAGGGUGGUGGCUUGUGAAGGUAUUGUUGGGGCAAGAGACAGCUGCACUUUCUCAGACUGAAACAGUUUAUGUUGCAUUAGCACUGAUCAGCCUUCAAGUACUCUUUUGACACUAGGAACAUGCUCCCUCAGAAGCAUUCGUUGCUCUGCCUUCUGCUUUGUAUAUUAAACCUCUUCUCUCACUGCAUCUGCUGCUGGAAUGCCACCUCCAACUAUCUUCAGUGGCCACCAGGCCUCUGCUAGGCUAUGAGAACAGAAAUGAUAACCACAGCUGAGUGGGUCCUUUCAGCACCUAAACUUACCAACAAAAUUCCAAGUUAUCAAAACUGAAGAAAUUCCCUGUGAGGGGACAGGCAGAAUUGGAUUCACAUUUUCAGCUUGGGUAGAGUACUCGGCCAAGGCACUGACACCUUCAUUUAAUUAUCCUAAGAACAAGGUAUCUGUAGGUAACAGGUUUGUAUGCAUGCAUUAUAUUUUAGAUAAAAGCUGGGAAGCAGAGAGAUCUUAUCCUCUAGAACCCCAGACCCCAGUUUGCUCCAGUAGGAUAUGCUCUCAUCUGUAAUGAUGACAAGACUACAGUAUUUCAGGUCUUUAAUAUGACUGCUCCUCUUCAUUGACAGGAGCAGGAGAGAAACAGUUUUGCUUUGGGGAAAUUUCAGUAUCUCUUCAGGUCUGUGCCACUACAGAAGCGUGGCAUCCAGGGUGUUAUACAUAAUAUCUAUUUUCCUCUGUAAACAAAACAGAUUCCUCUAUAAAACAAAUAAAUAGAAGUAAAUUAAGUGCUUUCAAGUUUAAGACAGAUCUUGCUGGGAGCAUGAUGAAGAGACAAAAAAGAAAUAUUUGUUCUAGACAAAAGAAUCAUUGUUAUUCUUCAGAACAGGCUCAUUUCUCACAUUUAGCAUGGCACAUGGGAUGCAAAUCACUUACAGAAGAAGAAGAAAUAUGGGAAUGCUGUUCCUUCAUCCUAACAAGCUAAGACUAAAAGUCACUGCCUCCUAAAUGUGCUGUUAUCCCAGAGCUGUUUUGGUCACUGUUAUGAUGAGUUUCUGCCAGAAGUCAAGCAUUAAUGAACUACAUUCAUUGCACACCAGCACAUGAACGUGUAAUACCAUUACUAAUUGUUGAUAGGAAAUUUAACUUUUAAUGUAGAAAGAGAAAUGUAAUGAGGUUUCAGUGUGGCCUGGACUGUCUGCAAGGACACUUUAUUUACAGUGAGGCCUCACAUUGUUUAUUGCCAAGUUAAGGACUGUGCUAGUAGUUUUGUCUGUUGUCUGGCCAGAAGUUGGUUUUGUCUAGCCUUGACCACAAGACCUCAGCUUUUCUUAAAAAAAAAAAAAAAAAAAAAAAAAAACUUUUCUCUGGGAAAACUAAUGAACCAGCCCCUUUAAAUAUGGAGUAUGUGAAGUAAAAGAAACCCAUGGUGGACAGUUCAUCAAAUGAAAUGGUUUUUGACAAAAUGCAUACCUGAAAGCAAAUAUGUCCUAAGGGCAAUACUUUAUCCAUCAGAAGCAACAUCUUGGCUCAACAGAGUUGCCUAAGGGUUGGAUCCUUGCUCUGGCACUGUGCAAGCAUCUAGUUUUCAAGGAGUUGCCUCUGCUUCAUUCAGGAAAAAAAAGCAAACUAGCUUACUGUCUGGAAAAAACAGAGGCAACUUCUUUGAGCUAAGCAAAAGGAUGUGUAAAUGUGCAUUUAUGUCUGAACAUCUGAUUAGCAAUGCUCCACAUACUUAUAUUGAAAUAAUUAAUGUCUUUAUUUUUUGCCCAUAUACAAAUACAUAUAGCAUUAUUUUAACUAUUAUAUAUAUGAUGAUGCAUUAUAUAUGAAAUAAAUGGUUGGUAUUUCACACCAGUGAUAGUGGCAAUCCAUGCACAGGGUCAGAGUGUGGUCCCCAUCUCCAAGUGGAGGAUGGGGGGGCAUACUACAGCCAAGAGUAGAGGAUAGGGGACUGCCUGCACAAAGAGGUAGUCAGUAGGCAGAGGAGCACCUCUUCUCUGAGAUGUGUGGGAUGGGCUGGAUCUGGUCCUCAAGGGCCAAAAUGCUUCCAUUAUCAAAUUUUAGCUGGCUUGUUAAAAAUGAUUUAUUUGUUUAUUCCUACAUGCAAAAGAAAAGUUGAGAGCUUGACUCUCAGCCUUCUCAAGUAAUUUUGUAGGAGGUGUUCUGAGUAGGUGUAUACUGUUUCAUUUUGAGAAAAGUCUGACAUGCUUGCCUAGGAUUAGUGUUUCAAAUUUUAAUUCUUGGAAAUCUGGUCCAAGUCUGGGCAUUGACUAUCUCUCCCUUAAGAAAGCUAGCUGAUAUUCCUGUAGAACAUGCACUGCUUUGUGAAGAAGUUUCACAUACAAAGAAAAAGACAGGGAGUUGUACAUUACCUCAGCCUUUAACUUCAACCCACCAAGCUUUGCUAGUUAAUAGACAUGGGCUGAUUUUAUUUCAUUACAACUGGGCUGAUUUUAUUUCAUUACAACUUGUUCCUUGGCUAGUUAUAUUAAGUCUUUCUUUCUGAGCAUGAAAAAACUUUAAUGGUUCUUAAUUAACAUAUUAAACUAGUCAAAAGA